This 2419-nucleotide long non-coding RNA is filed under the name Mizuhopecten yessoensis (Yesso scallop). RNAcentral's name for it is "uncharacterized LOC110450225". Lineage: Eukaryota; Metazoa; Mollusca; Bivalvia; Pectinida; Pectinidae. The record is from RNAcentral.
UUUGUUCAUAAAUAUGUAUAUACAUAUACUGCUUCCAAGCACAGAUAUAUAUAUACAUAUAUAAAUAUUUUGAUAGGAGCUGCCAGGGUUGGGGCGCCCUGGAGUCGGCCCCCUUAAUAAUAUGGUGUCCUCACGCAGGAGGGUUCUCAUUCAACAUCCAUCAGUCAAACAAACAAAAAAUAAAUAGGAAGGGCAAUGGGAAAAUUAAAUAUUUGCCAAUAGAGAACAGGAAAAGAACACAAAACAUACUUCUUUCACACCCUAACAAAUUCCAUAUACAACAUAAUAUUACAAACAAGGAUAAGCUGGGUAAAUAAACAACGAGCUAGUAUACACAAGUAACAUAACACACAUGAAAUACAUCUACAUUUAUACUCAUACACACAUACAUAUAUACAUUGAAACAGACACAGACAGACAGACACACAGUACAUACAUACAGUACAUACAUACAUACAUUGAAUUAGACAGACAGAUGCAUCAUUAUGCACGCAUACAUUUGAGCAGUUAAGAAACAAUAAUAAAUACACUGCAAACAAGUGCAUUACACCAUAAAUAUAAGUUAAAUAUCAUUACAGUGAAUUGAUUUAAGUGAUGACCAAAGCUGUUAAUAGAACGUAAAACACAAACAAACCAAACCAAACUUUUUUCUCUCUGUGAAACUGACCUCCCUCUAUCCUCAACGGAAAAAGAAAAACAAGUGUUAUAAAAACUAUUGAUACUCAUGUCUAGUAUACUGGACAAAAAGGAUAUUCCCUUCCCUGUUAUAUAGUGUUUUGGACAGGGUUUUGGGUACUUACAAUGUAGAACUCUGUUGUCUGUACUGGACAAGGGUUUGGGAGCUCCCUUCUCCGUUGUCUAGUAUGUUUACAAGGUUAAUCUAUAUGUACCUGUCAAGAAUCCUUUCCCUGUUGUCCAACGCUAGCUCACUAAGCAAAGUUUUUUGUACUCCCUUCUCUGUUGUUUAGUGUGCUGGGCAGGUUUUGGUAACUCCCUUCCCUGUUGUCUAGCAUACUGGACAAGGUUUGUGAUAAUCCCUUCCCUGUGGUGUAGCACACUGGACAAGGUUUUGGAUAGUCCCUUCCCUGUGGUCUAGCACACUGGACAAGGUUUUUAAUAAUCCCUCCCCUGUUUUCUAGUAUGUAUAGGCUGUACUGGACAAGGUUUUUGGUAAUCCCUUCCCUGUGGUCUGGUAUGUAUAGUCUGUACUGGACAAGGUUUUUGGUUAUCCCUUCCCUGUGGUCUGGGAUGUAUUGGCUGUACUGGGCAAGGUUUUUGGUAAUCCCUUCCCUGUGGUCUAGCACACUGGACAAGGUUUUUGGUACUCCUUUCCCUUUUGUGUAGUACAUGUACUAGAGCACUAGACCGUGGCAAGUGUAUGUGUUUUUUAAAUGAUUACACAUGCUAUAUUGGGAACUUCACAUCAGAGUCAGUAAAGAUACUCCGAUAUAUAUCAUACACAACUUACAAGACAUGUCCCAGAAGUAAACUAUUUAAUGGGAUUUACGUGAUUUAAGUGACUAUAUUGUAUGUCCAGUUUAUUCAAGCUAACAGCUUGACCUAGUUUGAUUUUCAUUUUAAACAGGUAUCAGUGUGAUACAGGUUCAAACUACGUGUUCAUAUUUAUAGUAUGAUGUCCAGUUUAUACAGGUAUCCAGAUUACACAGGUUCAACUUAUAUUUAGUUAGGUACAAUUGGACUUAGUAAGGUGUCUGGUUUAUACAGGUAUCCUAGUGGAUUAUCUGGUGUAUACAUGUAUCCUAGUGGAUUGUCUGGUGUAUACAGGUAUCCUAGUGGAUUGUCUGGUGUAUACAUGUAUCCUAGUGGUUUGUCUGGUGUAUACAGGUAUCCUAGUGGACUGUCUGGUGUGUACAGGUAUCCUAGUGGAUUGUCUGGUGUAUACAGGUAUCAUAGUGGAUUGUCUUGUGUAUACAGGUAUCCUAGUGGAUUGUCUGGUGUUUACAUGUAUCCUAGUGGUUUGUCUGGUGUAUACAGGUAUACUAGUGGAUUGUCUGGUGUGUACAGGUAUCCUAGUGGAUUGUCUGGUGCAUACAUGUAUCCUAGUGGUUUGUCUGGUGUAUACAGGUAUACUAGUGGAUUGUCUGGUGUGUACAGGUAUCCUAGUGGAUUGUCUGGUGUAUACAGGUAUCAUAGUGGAUUGUCUUGUGUAUACAGGUAUCCUAGUGGAUUGUCUGGUGUGUACAGGUAUCCUAGUGGAUUAUCUGGUGUAUACAGGUCUCUGGUUUAUAUAAGACAGACAGGUUACACUGUGUUUUUAUUGUUACACUUAUUAUUAUAAUGAUGUCACACCCGUGGAGACGAUUUCAGAAAUGAAAAAUAGCAACAGAUAUAUGAAUUCACUUACAUUUUGUAUCUGUGCUAAAUAUUGAUACAUCAUUAAAAUUGGUUGUUGAUAGUA